GAUGAACGCUGGCGGCGUGCUUAACACAUGCAAGUCGAACGAGAAAUGGAGACGGAAACCUUCGGGCGGAAGGCUUCAUUUCGAGUGGCGGACGGGUGAGUAACGCGUGGGUAACCUGCCUCAUACAGGGGGAUAACAGUUGGAAACGACUGUUAAUACCGCAUAAGACCACACCACCGCAUGGUGCGGGGGUAAAAACUCCGGUGGUAUGAGAUGGACCCGCGUUCGAUUAGCCAGUUGGCGGGGUAACGGCCCACCAAAGCGACGAUCGAUAGCCGAGCUGAGAGGAUGACCGGCCACAUUGGGACUGAGACACGGCCCAAACUCCUACGGGAAGCAGCAGUGGGGAAUAUUGCACCAUGGGGGAAACCCUGAUGCAGCGACGCCGCGUGAGUGAAGAAGUACUUCGGUAUGUAAAGCUCUAUCAGCAGGGAAGAAAAUGACGGUACCUGAGUAAGAAGCCCCGGCUAACUACGUG
Molecule: ribosomal RNA, 478 nt
Filed under: uncultured bacterium
Lineage: Bacteria
Description: partial 16S ribosomal RNA
Rfam family: Bacterial small subunit ribosomal RNA
Source: RNAcentral